This 538-nucleotide ribosomal RNA is filed under the name uncultured archaeon. RNAcentral describes it as "bacterial SSU rRNA". It matches the Rfam family "Archaeal small subunit ribosomal RNA", at positions 457 to 997 of the family's 1478-position model. The record is from RNAcentral.
GGCAGCAGCCGCGGUAACACCGGCAGCUCUAGUGGUAGCUGUUUUAUUGGGCCUAAAGCGUUCGUAGCCGGUUGAUAAGUCACUGGUGAAAUCCUGUAGCUUAACUGUGGGAAUUGCUGGUGAUACUGUUGAACUUGAGGUCGGGAGAGGUUAGCGGUACUCCCAGGGUAGAGGUGAAAUUCUGUAAUCCUGGGAGGACCACCAGUGGCGAAGGCGGCUAACUGGAACGAACCUGACGGUGAGGGACGAAAGCUAGGGGCGCGAACCGGAUUAGAUACCCGGGUAGUCCUAGCCGUAAACGAUGCGGACUUGGUGUUGGGAUGGCUUUGAGCCGCUCCGGUGCCGAAGGGAAGCUGUUAAGUCCGCCGCCUGGGAAGUACGGUCGCAAGACUGAACUUAAAGGAAUUGGCGGGGGAGCACCACAACGCGUGGAGCCUGCGGUUUAAUUGGAUUCAACGCCGGACAUCUCACCAGGAGCGACAGCUGUAUGAUUACCAGGCUGAUGACCUUGUUUGACUAGCUGAGAAGUGGUGCAUGG